AUCAGAUAUUUUGUGGUAGAAUACCAAUUCUGUGUUGUAUCUUUUUCUUUAAUCAAAUAUAGUGUUCACAAUGCUGUAUUGCAUUUGUACAGAAAUGGUGUUUUCCUCUAUUGGUCUGACAUGGACAAUCAGAUAUGUGUGAAUGUGCUCAAAGUUGAAUGCUGUUUCACUCCCACAGCUGCAAGAGAGCCCUGUUAGAGUUUCUGCUUGCUGUCUGUUCCAUGUGAGGGUUCUUCUGAAAUGGCUGAACUGAUGCAACAACUCAUUGGUGCUAAAACUGGUGUUCUAGCUCUGCUUUUGUUGUGCAGCCUGCGAUGUUUGACUUUUUACCUCAGUAAGACAGUUGCAGAGUAACCAGUGAAAAACCCAACAGAAAAACGAACGCCUGGGGUGAACUCAGUCUGGGAGCCAGCCGUGGCAAAUAGAAACACCUUAAACUGUAAAGAAUUGGUGCUUCCUUUGGUCAACAGCAGGUUAAACUCGAGAUGAAGUUUUAAUGAGCAGCUUUAUCAAGGGAGGGUAGGAGAAGCUGUGUGUAUGUGCUCAAUUCUAACAGCAUCUUGACUACUUGAUUUAAAAA
Molecule: long non-coding RNA, 580 nt
Organism: Oxyura jamaicensis (ruddy duck)
Lineage: Eukaryota; Metazoa; Chordata; Aves; Anseriformes; Anatidae
Exons: 2
Source: RefSeq, a predicted model, not a curated record